GAUGAACGCUGGCGGCGUGCUUAACACAUGCAAGUCGAACGAUGAAGCCCAGCUUGCUGGGUGGAUUAGUGGCGAACGGGUGAGUAACACGUGAGUAACCUGCCCUUAACUCUGGGAUAAGCCUGGGAAACUGGGUCUAAUACCGGAUAGGAGCGUCCACCGCAUGGUGGGUGUUGGAAAGAUUUAUCGGUUUUGGAUGGACUCGCGGCCUAUCAGCUUGUUGGUGAGGUAAUGGCUCACCAAGGCGACGACGGGUAGCCGGCCUGAGAGGGUGACCGGCCACACUGGGACUGAGACACGGCCCAGACUCCUACGGGAGGCAGCAGUGGGGAAUAUUGCACAAUGGGCGCAAGCCUGAUGCAGCGACGCCGCGUGAGGGAUGACGGCCUUCGGGUUGGAAACCUCUUUCAGUAGGGAAGAAGCGAAAGUGACGGUACCUGCAGAAGAAGCACCGGCUAACUACGUG
This 466-nucleotide ribosomal RNA is filed under the name uncultured bacterium. RNAcentral describes it as "partial 16S ribosomal RNA". It matches the Rfam family "Bacterial small subunit ribosomal RNA", at positions 28 to 507 of the family's 1533-position model. The record is from RNAcentral.